This 253-nucleotide ribosomal RNA is filed under the name uncultured bacterium. Its description in RNAcentral is "partial 16S ribosomal RNA". It matches the Rfam family "Bacterial small subunit ribosomal RNA", at positions 524 to 776 of the family's 1533-position model. The record is from RNAcentral.
UACGGAGGGUGCAAGCGUUAUCCGGAUUUACUGGGUUUAAAGGGCGCGUAGGCGGUUUUGUAAGUCAGAGGUGAAAUCUCCGAGCUUAACUCGGAAACUGCCUUUGAUACUAUAAGUCUUGAAUUAUCUGGAGGUAAGCGGAAUAUGUCAUGUAGCGGUGAAAUGCUUAGAUAUGACAUAGAACACCAAUUGCGAAGGCAGCUUACUGCGGAUCGAUUGACACUGAGGCGCGAAAGCGUGGGGAUCAAACAGG